CCUACGGGAGGCAGCAGUCGAGAAUCAUGCACAAUGGGGGAAACCCUGAUGGAGCGAAGCCGCGUGGGGGAAUGAAGGUCUUCGGAUUGUAAACCCCUGUCAUGUGGGAGCAAAUUAAAAAGAUAGUACCACAAGAGGAAGAGACGGCUAACACGGUGCCAGCAGCCGCGGUAAUACAGAGGUCUCAAGAGUUGGUCGGAAUCACUGGGCGUAAAGCGUGCGUAGGCUGUUUAGUAAGUCGUGUGUGAAAGGCGCGGGCUCAACCCGCGGACUGCACAUGAUACUGCGAGACUAGAGUAAGGGUGGGGGAACCGGAAUUCUCGGUGUAGCAGUGAAAUGCGUAGAUAUCGAGAGGAACACUCGUGGCGAAGGCGGGUUCCUGGACAUUAACUGACGCUGAGGCACGAAGGCCAGGGGAGCGAAAGGGAUUAGAUACCCUAGUAGUC
RNAcentral lists this ribosomal RNA (446 nucleotides) under uncultured bacterium. Its description in RNAcentral is "partial 16S ribosomal RNA". It matches the Rfam family "Bacterial small subunit ribosomal RNA", at positions 338 to 795 of the family's 1533-position model. The record is from RNAcentral.